UUCCUACGGGUGGCAGCAGUCGGGAAUUUUGGGCAAUGGGCGAAAGCCUGACCCAGCAACGCCGCGUGAAGGAUGAAGUAUUUCGGUAUGUAAACUUCGAAAGAAUGGGAAGAAUCAAUGACGGUACCAUUUAUAAGGUCCGGCUAACUACGUGCCAGCAGCCGCGGUAAUACGUAGGGACCAAGCGUGGUUCGGAUUUACUGGGCGUAAAGGGCGCGUAGGCGGCAAUUCAAGUCAGCUGUGAAAUCUCUGGGCUUAACCCAGAACGUCCAGCUUAUACUGCUUUGCUUGAGUGCAGAAGGGGCAAUCGGAAUUCUCGGUGUAGCGGUGAAAUGCGUAGAUAUCGAGAGGAACACCUGAGGUGAAGACGGGUUGCUGGGCUGACACUGACGCUGAGGCGCGAAAGCCAGGGGAGCAAACGGGAUUAGAUACCCGUGUAGUCA
RNAcentral lists this ribosomal RNA (443 nucleotides) under uncultured bacterium. Its description in RNAcentral is "bacterial SSU rRNA". It matches the Rfam family "Bacterial small subunit ribosomal RNA", at positions 336 to 796 of the family's 1533-position model. The record is from RNAcentral.